RNAcentral lists this ribosomal RNA (492 nucleotides) under uncultured bacterium. RNAcentral's name for it is "partial 16S ribosomal RNA". It matches the Rfam family "Bacterial small subunit ribosomal RNA", at positions 29 to 507 of the family's 1533-position model. The record is from RNAcentral.
AUUGAACGCUGGCGGCAUGCUUUACACAUGCAAGUCGAACGGUAACAGGCCUUCGGGUGCUGACGAGUGGCGAACGGGUGAGUAAUGCAUCGGAACGUACCCAGAGGUGGGGGAUAACGCAGCGAAAGCUGUGCUAAUACUGCAUGUGAUCUGAGGAUGAAAGCGGGGGACCGAGCAGCAAUGUUUGGCCUCGCGCCUUUGGAGCGGCCGAUGUCGGAUUAGCUAGUUGGUGGGGUAAAGGCCUACCAAGGCGACGAUCCGUAGCUGGUCUGAGAGGACGACCAGCCACACUGGGACUGAGACACGGCCCAGACUCCUACGGGAGGCAGCAGUGGGGAAUUUUGGACAAUGGGCGCAAGCCUGAUCCAGCAAUGCCGCGUGCGGGAAGAAGGACUUCGGGUUGUAAACCGCUUUUGGCAGGAACGAAACGGUGUCCGCUAAUACCGGGCGCUAAUGACGGUACCUGCAGAAUAAGCACCGGCUAACUACGUG